Molecule: ribosomal RNA, 484 nt
Filed under: uncultured bacterium
Lineage: Bacteria
Description: partial 16S ribosomal RNA
Rfam family: Bacterial small subunit ribosomal RNA
Source: RNAcentral
AUUGAACGCUAGCGGGAUGCUUUACACAUGCAAGUCGAACGGCAGCGCGGACUUCGGUCUGGCGGCGAGUGGCGAACGGGUGAGUAAUGUAUCGGAACGUGCCCAGUAGCGGGGGAUAACUACGCGAAAGCGUAGCUAAUACCGCAUACGCCCUACGGGGGAAAGCAGGGGAUCGUAAGACCUUGCACUAUUGGAGCGGCCGAUAUCGGAUUAGCUAGUUGGUGAGGUAACGGCUCACCAAGGCGACGAUCCGUAGCUGGUUUGAGAGGACGACCAGCCACACUGGGACUGAGACACGGCACAGACUCCGACGGGCGGCAGAAGUGGGGAAGUGUGGCAGAUGUGGGCAACCCUGAUCCAGCCGUCCCGCGUGUACGCUGAAGGGCUUCGGGUUGUAAAGCACUUUUGGCAGGAAAGAAACGUCGCGGCAUAAUACAACGUGGAACUGACGGUACCUGCAGAAUAAGCACCGGCUAACUACGUG